RNAcentral lists this ribosomal RNA (889 nucleotides) under Flavobacterium sp. AKB-2008-JO32. RNAcentral describes it as "bacterial SSU rRNA". It matches the Rfam family "Bacterial small subunit ribosomal RNA", at positions 11 to 906 of the family's 1533-position model. The record is from RNAcentral. Lineage: Bacteria; Pseudomonadati; Bacteroidota; Flavobacteriia; Flavobacteriales; Flavobacteriaceae.
GUUUGAUCCUGGCUCAGGAUGAACGCUAGCGGCAGGCUUAACACAUGCAAGUCGAGGGGUAUAUGUCUUCGGAUAUAGAGACCGGCGCACGGGUGCGUAACGCGUAUGCAAUCUACCUUUUACAGAGGGAUAGCCCAGAGAAAUUUGGAUUAAUACCUCAUAGNAUAGUGACUCGGCAUCGAGAUACUAUUAAAGUCACAACGGUAAAAGAUGAGCAUGCGUCCCAUUAGCUAGUUGGUAAGGUAACGGCUUACCAAGGCUACGAUGGGUAGGGGUCCUGAGAGGGAGAUCCCCCACACUGGUACUGAGACACGGACCAGACUCCUACGGGAGGCAGCAGUGAGGAAUAUUGGACAAUGGGCGCAAGCCUGAUCCAGCCAUGCCGCGUGCAGGAUGACGGUCCUAUGGAUUGUAAACUGCUUUUGUACGAGAAGAAACACUCCUACGUGUAGGAGCUUGACGGUAUCGUAAGAAUAAGGAUCGGCUAACUCCGUGCCAGCAGCCGCGGUAAUACGGAGGAUCCAAGCGUUAUCCGGAAUCAUUGGGUUUAAAGGGUCCGUAGGCGGUUUAGUAAGUCAGUGGUGAAAGCCCAUCGCUCAACGGUGGAACGGCCAUUGAUACUGCUAAACUUGAAUUAUUAGGAAGUAACUAGAAUAUGUAGUGUAGCGGUGAAAUGCUUAGAGAUUACAUGGAAUACCAAUUGCGAAGGCAGGUUACUACUAAUGGAUUGACGCUGAUGGACGAAAGCGUGGGUAGCGAACAGGAUUAGAUACCCUGGUAGUCCACGCCGUAAACGAUGGAUACUAGCUGUUGGAAGCAAUUUCAGUGGCUAAGCGAAAGUGAUAAGUAUCCCACCUGGGGAGUACGUUCGCAAGAAUGAAACUCAAGG